UGCAUCAAGUGAUGAAAUUGGAAAAAUCUUAGGACACCUUCCUACCACGGCAGCACUGUCGUGGAUGAGAAAGAAUAUUCCAUGCUGAUGAUGUG
Neltuma alba is the source of this 95-nucleotide small nucleolar RNA. RefSeq annotates it as small nucleolar RNA snoR31/Z110/Z27. The record is from RefSeq and is a predicted model, not a curated record. The transcript has a single exon. NCBI's taxonomy places the organism in Eukaryota, Viridiplantae, Streptophyta, Magnoliopsida, Fabales, Fabaceae.